Molecule: non-coding RNA, 6068 nt
Organism: Zonotrichia albicollis (white-throated sparrow)
Lineage: Eukaryota; Metazoa; Chordata; Aves; Passeriformes; Passerellidae
Source: RefSeq, a predicted model, not a curated record
AAACAAGACAACACAUACACACUGGAUUCAGGUCUACAUGUGGAGAUAAUUCAUUCAAUACCAAUAAAGGGUGCAUUUCCAGUGCUAAAGGUAAAGGAAGACUGUCUAUUAAGAACAUCUGGUGUACUGAAUGUAAUUACUACAUGUUCAUUUAUUUGUUUGCAUGUGUCAUUUCAGGAAGAGACAUUUUAUGAUGCAAAGAGAAAAAGUAGACAGAAAAGAUAUAAAGGCAGAAGAUACCACGGUCUUGAGGGUAAGUGAUUGUAACAGAUUCUCUUUGGCAAGAAUAUUUUUGACAAUUUAAUGAACAUUAGAAAAGCUUUGUAUAGUAUGGAUAUAUCGACGUGCCAUCAGGGUGAAAUGUUUUGCUUUAUUAAAAUAAGCUUAUCUGUAUUACUCAAUAUUUUCAAAAGUGCUAGAUAUCUUUACAGGGCUAUAUAAAUGCACUUUACUUAUUUCCAAGAUAGUCUUCCUUUAUAAGUUUGAGCAGUAUAAUAAUUUAAGUGAAUAUGUGCCAUUAAAUUGAUGAGAUUGAUUUAUCAGUGACAUUAAUAAACCUUUUUCGUAUUCUGCAAUGAAAAGCUUGAGGUGAGCACUAAUGUAAUGCAAAACCUUUAAGAACAGGCUUUAUGCAGCCAUUUUAAUUUCUCUCACCUCCCAGCGUGCAGAUGGAAAAUGCAGUGAGGCUCAUUCCCCGCUGUAUAUUUUUCACAUGUGUUCAGCUAAUUAAAGAAUAAGUAGGGUAACACAUUUCCUCCCACAACACUUACUGUGUUGUUCAUUCACAGCCCUUUUCUUUAUUGCGAUUACAAUAUCUGUGUUCAGCUUUCAGCCAGCUGAACAAAGGCAAGGAGCUCACAGAGCUCAUUUUUGGCAUUCCUGUUCUUCACCUUGGUUAUUUAGAUUUUGUUUUCAAAUGAAGGGUUAUUUCAUUUUUAUGUAGACCCAUGUAGACCCAGAGUAACUUCACUGUUAACUGAGACCACAGACUCCUUUUGGAAGCAUCUGAUCUCUGCUUUUUGCUGAUUUGGGGUAACCUGCUGGGAGUCUGGAUUUAUAUGUUUGUGAAUCAGUACUACUUUGAUGACUACAUCUCCCAAUUGUUCCCUAUUAGGUUAAACCUCAGUGGUACCAUAAAUGAAAAAAUGGACUUGAACUGGGAAGUUACAUAUGUAUAUAUAUCCAGUGAAAAAAACUAACAGGAAAAAUAUUGCUAGAAAGACAUUUGUCAUCUGUUGUCUCACUGUUUAUUAACUAUAAAUUACAGAUGGCACUUUGAACAUUUGGAAUGCUGAAGAAGAAUAGUUACCUUUGGCAAAAGGGUUCCACAAUAAUAACAGAGUCAAUUAGCUGGCAGCAUUCAUUAAUGAAGUGGAAAACUGACAUGCCAAAAAUACUCUGCAAGGCUAAGUAUUACAGCAAAUAUCUGCUGAUUACUCUUUGCUUCCUGGAAGAUGAAAAGAAAAAAAAAAUCACAAUGAAAAUCCAGAACAGGUCCUACUGGAGCUUAUGUCCAUAAGAAACAUGAAAUGGAGAAUAUUCAAAAAUGCUAUUGAACUUGGGGUGUUAUAACUGGUAAGCACCUUUAGAACCAGAAUGUUUUAUUUUCAUGGCCAAAUAAGUCUCUAGUUUGACAAUUUUGGCCAACACCUCCUAAAACGAUUAACAGUGAAGAAAAGGAAGGAAGACAGUUAUUGAAGAACUACAUCAACUGUACUUUUGAGGUAAGCAUUAACCAGUUUUUGUAUUCUGAGAUGAAAACCAGUUGGGCUAGAAACGAUUAUGAAAAUUCGGAAAUUUGUACUGACUAGAAAGCAUGCUUUUUACAGCCAUCUGAAAUGAAGUUGGCAUGACAGCCACUUAAAAAAAAAACCCCUUCAUUAAAUAUAGAAUGCUAGUGCCUUUUAGUCUUUAAUCACGAGCAAUACUUGGCUUUAUGCAGAACAAAGGAAAAAUUAGAAAUGUAUCAAUAACAUUAUAGAAGACAGAGCUCUGCUUUGUGUAGAAUACUUGUGUAAGCCUGAUUGCUCAACUCUUGGGAUUAUGAACCCAGAAUGAAUGCAGGAAAGGUUACUAGGAUGAUAAAAGAAGUUGAAUCUAUUUAAAAAGUGAAGACUAGGAAAGUUUGACUUGUUUCGUCUAGCAAACUGAUGACAGAAGGUAUCACCUUCUUGAAUAAAUACAGCAAGGAGCUAAGCCUCCUGCCAUCCUAAUGGACAAUACUGGUACAAGAACAUAUGGGUGUUAACUGGCUACUGGGAAAUUUCAGCUGGAAAUUAGAAGAUGGUAUCUAGGCUUUAGGGCAGUGAGGUUGUUAGACACUUUCCAUUUGUCACAAAACACACUGAUGCUUUACAGAUGUAGUUUAUUAACUGGUAGAAUAAACUACAGUAUGUUUCCUGCAAUAAUGGAGCAUUGGAUGCAGUGACUUGGAAGGGCUUUGAGGUCCUGAAGUUACCUUGUAAUUAGAUAAAGCUCUAGCAGGGGGUGUAAAAUGUUUCCAUAUGUGACAGAGGCCAAGUCCCCUGUGCUUCCUUUCCUCUGUUAUGCUCCUGGUUAUGCUGGGGCACCUGAUCAUCCCCCAACUGGUGGAGUGGGCUUCAAAUACAUAUUUGAGCCUGUCUCUAUUUUUGUAAAGAAACAACAGUUGCAGGGCAUGUUUCUGAGUAUGCUCUGCACUCCCAGUACAUGGAUAUUUCCUUGGCUUUUGUCUGAUGCACUGGACUGUAAAUAGAUUGCACCGUAAAUGGAUUAAAUUUUUUUAGACACUUAGCACAACAUAUGUUUCAAUCUUGAGAGCUGCCUUUCUGCUGCCAGAAAACAUUAAUCCAUUUUACAUAUAUGCAUUUAGUUAACAUAUAUUUCUUGUUCUCUUCAAUGUUUUUCUGCUAAACCAGUGUUUUGUGGUUCAUGCUAUUCUGGUAAUUUUGAUGCCGGUAACUGCUGGAGUACAGGAAAACAUUUAGUGUAUCAGUCCCAGUAUGUUACCACUUGACACAAUUAAGUAAGGAGGAAAAAAUGUUAGUUUGUUGUGUUUUGCAGCUGGUCAGUCUGAUUCAGCAUCUCAGCCAGCCACCCUGCAGCAUUUCUCCCCAAGUAUAUCCAUCUUGCUCAAGUGAAAACUGCCUGUGUGGAACAGAUGAGAUCUAAAAGUGGAAAAUAGCACUAGCAAACAGGAAUAAUGGAAAAUUGGUGUGAUUUUGUUUGCGUUUGAUUUUUAAAGUAAGAAAGACUGACUAGUGAUAAGCAAUCUGAUCUUUCUGAAGCCAAGAUUCAGAAGCAAGGCUGUCAGCUUUUCUGUCUGACAAAGAACCUGUCUUCUGCUACCAACAGAUAACUUGUUUUGGUGAGAUAAUACUGUAUUGGUAUGUUGGUCAGACUUGUUGCUAAACAUUUUCAUAUUCCAGGUGAAUUCAGAGGAAAUAAUUUGCUUAUAUACUAUAAAGAAAAGCUGACUAUGCUACAUUAUCUUUUGUAUUUAAGGCAGCAGAAAAAAGUGAAAUAGUUCAUGAAUGAAUGAUUGUACUACUUCCACUCUGAAACUGCAAUACAACUUUCAAUUUUAUUACUACUACACAUAAUUAACCAUAGCAACAGCACAAAAACAAAAGCUGCACAUUAAGCAAUUCACUCUCAACACAGGGCCUGCUCCAAGUUAUGAUUUGGAGUGAAGAAACCUCUAAUAAUUACAAAGCACUUGGAUGUAUGCAUGGACUGUGAAACAUAAGCAGGAGGACUGUUCAAGUUCAGAGGUGGGUCAUCAAUACUUAAGGUAAACAAAGAGACCAGUUUUUAAACUUCGUUGCAUUUCUAUGGGUAUUGCUCUUUUACAACAACUGUGCUGUGUGAAACCAAGUCUUUGUCUCAAAGUUAACUAAGAUACAGGAGUGCUCUAGUAGUCUUGCUCAGGUAAGUAAAUGCUACAUGGUGUAGAAAAAGCCACAGUUAACUCAAAAACAGUCCAUCAUCUGAUCAAACAUUAGCAAAGAAAAAAAAGAAAUGGCAAGUAAUGAUUAAAUCAAUUUUGUGAUAGUGUCUGCUUCUCCCCUGCCUCCCCUCCAUGUUAGUGCACUAAAUUUUUGCUGUUGGCCUGGUCAGUGAAUCAUUUUUACAUCCCUCUGUGCUUACAAAAAUAAGCUAUGUAAAAAGCCCUCCUAUGACUGAAAUGGAAUUACUUUUUGUACUGGCUACAUGAGGUGCUAUCCAAGCCACUCAGACAUAGCACACAGAAUUGCACUCAGCACCGUGCCAGCUGGGAAGCUGUCAGUGCUAUAUGGCCCUUCCAGCAGAUCAUGUGGUUCACCUUAACCAGAAAGUAUUCUGCUUGUUAGACCUGUCAGAAGCACAGCUUAGGGUCCUUAGGCACACAGCUCUGACCAGCAGCCUAAAGCACUGUCACACACUGGCAAAGUCAUGCAAACACUGAAGGGAAUGGGGAAAAGUCUCAAAAUCAGGCUGCACAUGGUUUACCAACCAUUGUGAAAUGACAUGAGCUUCUUACAGUGCUAGAAAAUGCUGCUUUCAGUUCUGAGUACCACAUGUCAGAAAAGACACAGAUAAGUUGAAUAACAAUAAGGAGUGAAUGGUUCAGAAACUAAAAAUCUCAGAGAAGAGAUAAUGACAGCUAGAUAGGUUUAAUGUGAAGGAAAAAGGGAUUGCCAUGUUAGAUGUGAUCAUUGUUUUUGGCUGAUUCAGGAACUGUCAAAUCCCUUACAAACUCACAGAAGCAUUGACUCUCUGAGCCUCCCUGACUAUUUUCCAGUGCAAUGAUUUUAUUGAAACAAUCUUGAUUCUGUUGCAGAAAGCAUGAUAAAAUUAUCCACUGAAGCAGGCUCACGAAUUUGAUAAUCUAAUUGUUUUGUUUCUAUAAACUGAACAAUUUCCCCCCAUUCUAAUGCUAUGCACUUACAUCUUUGAGAUAACAUACUAUUAUUGUAGGGAUGAAGUUCUGCUGAAGCUUCAGCUAUUACGACCAUUAAAACAUGAAAUGUCAUCACAUGAAACAAUGAUAAACACACAAGGAAGGGUAGCAUCAUUUCUAAACUAAGGUUGCAUGAGACAGCUAUUAGUGUCACUUUUUAAUUAAAAGCACAAAGUAUAUUUCAAGAAAAGUGCAUUCACAAAUCAUUAAAUUAUAUUUUCUUUUUCAUUUUCCGCUCACUCCAUGCUCCUCCUCCAUACACUAAGGCAAACAAAGGAGAUUUCAUUGUAACCUUAGAAAUUACCUGCUUCAUAACAAAUAGUAUGGCUCAUUACCAUGAUCUCAUCAAAUGGGUCAAACUAAGUUCACACAUUUCUUAAUAACCCUUUUCCUUGUUCAUAUGUAUUUCAUGAAUAAUGAGAUAUUCACAAUAGCUGCAGAAAGACAAAACAUCUUCAUACAUACUCUUUACAGAUAAAUUGAUGAGGAAAAACAAUGAAAAGAUCUCAGGGUUCAGACUGUGAAUGACAGAUAUGCAAAUGAAACAGGUUGCCUGUAAGUCAGAAAGAAUAUUGGCAUCCUUUAUUAUAUUCAUAAAAUUCCAUCAUUUUUAUAGAACACUAGAACAUCAGUUCCAAAUGUAAUGCCUGCACUCUGAAUUUGCACACUUACAAUAAAAUGAAGACAUAAGGCACACUUACAAUGCAUUAAAAGACACAACAAUGCAUUACAUUCCAUGGCAUUUACAGAUACUUCUUGAGGACAUGGACAAUUGAUAUUUUAUGGAUUGUUUGCCCUCAACUAAUCUGCUUAUGUUUCCUCUUUUACAAUUUAUGCAUGUCACUGAGGAAAACAAGACUCUAGUAAACAUCUGCUUUCUAGGCAAGGAUCUGAAUAGUCAUAUUCAUACAUUUAUCUCCUUUAAAAAUAAAUGCCAUGUCGCUUUAUUUGCCACCAACAACUGUCUAAGAAGCAUAUUUAUUUUUCUUUGUAUGGCUUAUGUUUAUGUGACUUAAUGCUUCUGUUGUAUUCAAUGAAGAUGCCUCACCAGUAAACUAAUGGGUACACUCCACAGAUAUUCCAGAUUCAUACAGUGCAAUGUUUUCACAACACAGAGCACUAUGGGAUCACUGUAUGAAUCCUAGAA